RNAcentral lists this ribosomal RNA (450 nucleotides) under uncultured bacterium. RNAcentral's name for it is "partial 16S ribosomal RNA". It matches the Rfam family "Bacterial small subunit ribosomal RNA", at positions 354 to 796 of the family's 1533-position model. The record is from RNAcentral.
GUGGGGAAUAUUCCGCAAUGGACGAAAGUCUGACGGAGCAACGCCGCGUGAGUGAUGAAGGUUUUCGGACUGUAAAGCUCUGUUGUUUAGGACGAAAGUGCCUGUUGCAAAUAGUUACAGGUAUUGACGGUACUGAACGAGGAAGCCACGGCUAACUACGUGCCAGCAGCCGCGGUAAUACGUAGGUGGCAAGCGUUGUCCGGAAUUAUUGGGCGUAAAGAGCAUGUAGGCGGGAAUCUAAGUCUGUUGUGAAAAUGCGGGGCUCAACCCCGUAUUGCGAUGGAAACUGGGUUUCGUGAGUGCAGGAGAGGAAAGGGGAAUUCCCAGUGUAGCGGUGAAAUGCGUAGAUAUUGGGAGGAACACCAGUGGCGAAGGCGCCUUUCUGGACUGUGUCUGACGCUGAGAUGCGAAAGCCAGGGUAGCGAACGGGAUUAGAUACCCGGGUAGUCC